This is a non-coding RNA of Nelumbo nucifera (sacred lotus), 675 nucleotides long. NCBI's taxonomy places the organism in Eukaryota, Viridiplantae, Streptophyta, Magnoliopsida, Proteales, Nelumbonaceae. The record is from RefSeq and is a predicted model, not a curated record.
UUUUUUUGUUUUCUGGUUGCCUGGGAGGGGAGGGAGGGGACAACGGCUCCGAACUACGAACUCUGCCAUUGGCGAUCUCUGAAAACUGAUAAUCCAACCAAGCUUGUGAACUCUGUUAGAUCUACUACUGCCUUCAAUCUUUGAAAACUGAGAGAGUUGCCUACCUUGUUGGAAGAACGAUCUGGCCUUAUUCUUCAAAUCCAUCGUAGUACUUGGAGAAUCUGAAGCAAAAUCCUCAUUGGUUGCAGAUAUAAGAAGGAUACUUUAAAAGGCUUUAGGUCAUUGAUGGCAUUCAGGUUCUUUGACAAUAUGGGUUGUUGUGAGAUCAUUUGUCCCUCAGUUCAUAGAGAAAACAUUUUGUUAGCAUUAUCAAACUUAAGUCAUCAAAGCAGUAGGUAAGUUUUAUCAUACGAUGUCAUAAUUGGAGAUGCCAUUCUACAAAAUUCUUCAUUCUUGCAUCAUCUUUCCUUCAUCAACAGCCCAGUUGGCACUGGAUGGUAGAAACAUUUCUUGAAUGGUUUGUAGUCUAGAAGGACAAAUUUGUCUUAUUAACCUAUAUUGUUCAAAUGUUGAAGUUCAUUUGGUUUACUGAAUCUGUCAUAUUUGGACUACAUGUCAUCCAAGGCAUGCCUAACUGGGUUAUCCUGAAUUCCUGAUCAAUUACAUGUUGCUUCG